ACGGAGGGUGCAAGCGUUAUCCGGAUUCACUGGGUUUAAAGGGUGCGUAGGUGGGUAUGUAAGUCAGUGGUGAAAUCCCCGAGCUUAACUUGGGAACUGCCAUUGAUACUAUCAGUCUUGAAUACCGUGGAGGUCAGCGGAAUAUGUCAUGUAGCGGUGAAAUGCUUAGAUAUGACAUAGAACACCAAUUGCGAAGGCAGCUGGCUACCCGAAUAUUGACACUGAGGCACGAAAGCGUGGGGAUCAAACAGGAUUAGAUACCCUGGUAGUCCACGCCCUAAACUAUGGAUACUCGACAUUUGCGAUAAACUGUAAGUGUCUGAGCGAAAGCAUUAAGUAUCCCUCCUGGGAAGUACGACCGCAAGGUUGAAACUCAA
RNAcentral lists this ribosomal RNA (377 nucleotides) under uncultured Terrimonas sp. RNAcentral's name for it is "bacterial SSU rRNA". It matches the Rfam family "Bacterial small subunit ribosomal RNA", at positions 525 to 904 of the family's 1533-position model. The record is from RNAcentral. Lineage: Bacteria; Pseudomonadati; Bacteroidota; Chitinophagia; Chitinophagales; Chitinophagaceae.